CAAAGGGGGCCGGGAAAAAGUAUGUUAAUUCGAGGCGGCAGCAAAAAAGUACCUUGCAACUUUGCAGGCGAGCGGCGGCCGGUUGAGUAAUGUCUGGGAAACUGCCUGAUGGAGGGGGAUAACUACUGGAAACGGUAGCUAAUACCGCAUAACGUCGCAAGACCAAAGAGGGGGACCUUCGGGCCUCUUGCCAUCAGAUGUGCCCAGAUGGGAUUAGCUAGUAGGUGGGGUAACGGCUCACCUAGGCGACGAUCCCUAGCUGGUCUGAGAGGAUGACCAGCCACACUGGAACUGAGACACGGUCCAGACUCCUACGGGAGGCAGCAGUGGGGAAUAUUGCACAAUGGGCGCAAGCCUGAUGCAGCCAUGCCGCGUGUAUGAAGAAGGCCUUCGGGUUGUAAAGUACUUUUCAGCGGGGAGGAAGGUGGUGAGGUCAAUAACCUCCUCGUUUGACAUUUUCCCGAAGGAAAAACACCGUCUCUGCAAGUUUC
This 491-nucleotide ribosomal RNA is filed under the name Enterobacter sp. WA10U2. RNAcentral describes it as "bacterial SSU rRNA". It matches the Rfam family "Bacterial small subunit ribosomal RNA", at positions 38 to 509 of the family's 1533-position model. The record is from RNAcentral. Lineage: Bacteria; Pseudomonadati; Pseudomonadota; Gammaproteobacteria; Enterobacterales; Enterobacteriaceae.